This 761-nucleotide ribosomal RNA is filed under the name Villophora isidioclada. RNAcentral's name for it is "LSU rRNA". It matches the Rfam family "Eukaryotic large subunit ribosomal RNA", at positions 165 to 944 of the family's 3401-position model. The record is from RNAcentral. Lineage: Eukaryota; Fungi; Ascomycota; Lecanoromycetes; Teloschistales; Teloschistaceae.
CGGGCGCGGCGUCGGUCUAAGUCUCUUGGAACGGGGCGUCAUAGAGGGUGAGAAUCCCGUAUGUGACCGAUGACCAAGCCCAUGUGAAACCCCUUCGACGAGUCGAGUUGUUUGGGAAUGCAGCUCAAAAUGGGUGGUAAAUUUCAUCUAAAGCUAAAUAUUGGCCAGAGACCGAUAGCGCACAAGUAGAGUGAUCGAAAGAUGAAAAGCACUUUGGAAAGAGAGUCAAAAAGUACGUGAAAUUGUUGAAAGGGAAGCGCUUGCAACCAGACCUGCCCACGGGCGAUCAGCCGUCCUUCUGGGCGGUGUACUCGCCCGUGAUCAGGCCAGCAUCGGUUCGGGCGGCCGGAUAAAGGCCUUGGGAAUGUAGCUUCCUUCGGGGAGUGUUAUAGCCCUCGGUGUCAUGCGGCCAGCCCGGACCGAGGACCGCGCUUCGGCUAGGAUGCUGGCGUAAUGGUUGUAAGCGGCCCGUCUUGAAACACGGACCAAGGAGUCUAACAUUUAUGCGAGUGUUUGGGUGUCAAACCCAUACGCGCAAUGAAAGUGAACGGAGGUGGGAACCCGUUAGGGCGCACCAUCGACCGAUCCAGAUGUCUUCGGAUGGAUUUGAGUACGAGCAUAACUGUUGGGACCCGAAAGAUGGUGAACUAUGCCUGAAUAGGGUGAAGCCAGAGGAAACUCUGGUGGAGGCUCGCAGCGGUUCUGACGUGCAAAUCGAUCGUCAAAUUUGGGUAUAGGGGCGAAAGACUAAUCGAACCAUC